CCCUCUAAACGAAAGAAUGAAGACAAAUCUUGCGACUUCGCUCUCCUCUGUUGGAGGGGUGGACACUAAGAGGGUUGUGUGGAAUAUUCUGGCAAGAAUGAUUACCUGCACCGUGGCACACAGGAUCAAUUGGAAGGGAGUAAACGGCAAAAGGGCCUUCAAUAAAAUGGCCAUGAAAAUCGUUCUUUUCCGUGCAGUGCGCAAAUGCGCUAUAACGAGUGCAGCGAUGGAUGCAGACAUAUCCCAGCAUACCAUUCGCUGGUUUAACCUGGCAAGCGACAGGGAAGGGGGCCGCCAGGAGAGACAGGAG
This is a long non-coding RNA of Gymnodraco acuticeps, 310 nucleotides long. RefSeq lists it as uncharacterized. The record is from RefSeq and is a predicted model, not a curated record. NCBI's taxonomy places the organism in Eukaryota, Metazoa, Chordata, Actinopteri, Perciformes, Bathydraconidae. The transcript has 3 exons.